RNAcentral lists this ribosomal RNA (770 nucleotides) under uncultured bacterium. RNAcentral describes it as "bacterial SSU rRNA". It matches the Rfam family "Bacterial small subunit ribosomal RNA", at positions 93 to 859 of the family's 1533-position model. The record is from RNAcentral.
GACCGGCGCACGGGUGAGUAACACGUAUGCAACCUGCCCGCCACAGGGGGAUAAGCGGAAGAAAUUCCGUCUAAUACCGCGUGACGCGGCGCCGGGGCAUCCCGGUGCCGCCAAAGGGAUUACCGGUGGCGGAUGGGCAUGCGGCGCAUUAGCUAGUCGGCGGGGUAACGGCCCACCGAGGCGACGAUGCGUAGGGGUUCUGAGAGGAAGGUCCCCCACACUGGUACUGAGACACGGACCAGACUCCUACGGGAGGCAGCAGUGAGGAAUAUUGGUCAAUGGGCGCGAGCCUGAACCAGCCAAGUCGCGUGAGGGAUGACGGUCCUACGGAUUGUAAACCUCUUUUGCCGGGGAGCAAGCGUGCGUUCGUGAACGCACGUCGAGAGUACCCGGAGAAAAAGCAUCGGCUAACUCCGUGCCAGCAGCCGCGGUAAUACGGAGGAUGCGAGCGUUAUCCGGAUUUAUUGGGUUUAAAGGGUGCGUAGGCGGGAUGCCAAGUCAGCGGUAAAAAUGCGGUGCUCAACGCCGUCGAGCCGUUGAAACUGGCGUUCUUGAGUGGGCGAGAAGUAUGCGGAAUGCGUGGUGUAGCGGUGAAAUGCAUAGAUAUCACGCAGAACUCCGAUUGCGAAGGCAGCAUACCGGCGCCCUACUGACGCUGAGGCACGAAAGCGUGGGUAUCGAACAGGAUUAGAUACCCUGGUAGUCCACGCAGUAAACGAUGAAUGCUAACUGUCCGGCGCGAAUGAGCGCUGGGCGGUACAGCGAAAGCG